RNA transcript from Polistes canadensis, 3600 nucleotides. It is a transcript of the gene named lipoma HMGIC fusion partner, with no coding region annotated. The transcript has 7 exons. NCBI's taxonomy places the organism in Eukaryota, Metazoa, Arthropoda, Insecta, Hymenoptera, Vespidae. The record is from RefSeq and is a predicted model, not a curated record.
AAAAAAAAUAAGAAAUAAAAUUCUCUACCAGAAAUUUUGUUGAUUGGCGGAAAUUACAUCGGCAAGGAUUUUUAUGGAUAAAAAGAAAGUCGAGAUAAUACGGACGAGUUUCGAUUUUCGAGCUUCCGACGUUCGUCUCUGCGUUGGGACCUCGUGAAACGACGUGAAAGGGUAGUGCGAAUGAGGCGAACGCUUUCAAACCGAUGAGAUGACAGUGCUGUGCGUGCUGUGGGCUACUCUGUCCACCGUUGCAUCGAUCCUAGCGUGUUCUGGCUUUUAUUUGCCUUAUUGGAUACAGGGACGACUACUGGGAAAGGCCGACGCGUACUUCAGUUCCUUUCGACGUUGCAACUAUCCACGAAUCAGAGCACCUAACGCUACACCUGAGAUAGUUUACCAGUGUGCAAGGUACUCUAGUUUCUGGGAUAUACCAAGUGCAUGGUGGCAAGCCAGUACGGUAACGAUGGGGAUCGGUGUAUCGAUCGCAGUGAUCGGUGCUUUGACUCUUCUAGCAGCUGCAUCUUCUUUUCUACCGCAUAUUCUAAGGACUCCGAAGCAUACGAGGCUUCUUGGUUCCAUUCAUUUCAUAGCAGCUGCAAUGAUAUGUGGUGGUUUGGUGAUGUACCCUAUUGGAUGGGACAAUCAAGAAGUACGUGAGUCCUGCGGCAAAGCUGCGAACGUGUACAAUCUCGGCAAAUGCUCGUUGUCCUGGUCCAGCCCCCUCCUCAUCGGCUCGGUAAUCUUGCUGAUGCUGUGCUUCGGUCUGAGUUUCUGUGCUGCCCGAUACAAGCCGUCAAACUCCCACACGGAUCCCUUGCGCAUUUGACAAUCGAUUCGCGCCUACGCUUCGCCGAAGACGACGACAACUGCUCUCUCUUUCCUCGCCGCUGUUGAUCGUCACUCUGAUGUAGUCACCUGAUGACAUACGUAUAUACCGUGGCACGCUUAUCUCCGGCAAAGCUGCGUUGCCGUUCCUGGAUUCCACUACCCUUUCGCGUGGACACUUGUCUCCCAGGGGUUUUAGGUCGUAAACAAAUACUUCGAAAGAGAGAAACACAUUUAUCUUCUACGAAGGUGAAAAAGUGGGGGAGUGGGGACGGGAAGAAGGGAGCGAUUUGCUGGAGUGGAAAAGGAAAAGAAGAAGAAGAAGAAGAGGAAGGAGGGGCAAGGAAGAGAAGGUUUAACGAAUUACAAUACCGACGAGUAAAAACGCCGAAGCUGCUCAACGAGCGAGUUAUUUUCCUUCUACUUCUAUUAUUUUCUAUGUACGUGUGCGCACAUAGUAUGUAUGUAUGGAUGUGUGUGUGUGUAUGUGUGCUCGUGUUUGUUUAGUCCGAUCGAUCGAUUCCUCAAAAAUCCUAAAGACUCUCUCGUUCAUUAUGGAUUCGCCAACUUAGGGAUUAUCACGAAGAGAUAGUUUCUUUAAGGAUCGGAAUAAAGGAUACGCGUGUGAACCCUUUUCAAGGCUAAUCUGUAUUACAAAGAAAAAAGAAGAGAGAGAAAAAAAGGAGAGAAAAGAAAAAAAAGGGCGAUUGAAAGAACAUCGUGGAUAAUAUUAUCUCGAUAUGAAUAAAAAUGAAGGUUGAACUUUGUCAGGACUUGCUGAAAUCGUGGUUAAACUUGUAAAAGGGUGAUUAUUUCUUUAAAAAGAAAAGCAAUGUAGAAAUUAAAAUUUUUUUCAAUUGUAUAUAUAGGUCGUAUAUUUCCUCGAUAAUAGGGGAGCACGCAUUUAUUUAUUAUUUUUAUUUAUUAUCUUAAAAAAAAUCAUCUAAAAUUGUACCUCGGAUUUGUUUUGUUAUUUAAUUUUUUAAACCAUAAUUCUCUAAUUUUUAUUAAUUUUACUUUUUCUAAUGGAUAGACAUAACUUUUCAAGUUGACCACGAUUAUUAUCUCACGGCUUGUAUGCUACGCUUAAGUACGUACAUACGUGUGUGUGCACGUAUGUUGUAUACAUAUACAAAUACAAUAUCGUCAGGAUCUCUCGUAAUAACAUUUCGUAUCGAGUUUACUUAAUUCUUCGCGCGAUGCAAGUUGGAAAUUCGUAAAGCAAUUUCUGCUAUUGUGUAAGCUCUCUUCAUUUUGCUAUCUCGCAUGAAUGAGCUUAUGGUUCUAACGACCUUACACAGCACACACCGAAUCGACCAUCGACGUUCCCAUAACGUUUUGCAUUACAAAGAGAAGAUAUAUAUCAUCGUCACGUAAUAUUUCAUUAACUACAAAGUUUUCGUAACGAAGUUAAAUUUGUUAAUAUGUUACACAAAUCUUAUCUAUUAUAUAUAUGUGUGUGUGCACGAAUUAACCGAGCGUUUUAUAAUUCAUACUUUUUUUUCGAAUUAUACGAAAAAGAGAAGAGAAAAAGAAUACAAUGGAAUUUAAUGAUUGAAAAAUCAUCAAACGUACCCAUAUACUUUUCUAAAUAAGUUUUAACCUAUUUACUUAUUUCUUUAUGUCAUAAAUUUAAUUUAAAAACGCGUACUCACGCGUCAGAACGUCUGCUCAAAUAUAUUAUAAUGAAAAGCGAGAAAAUUUUGAGAUUAUGAGGUAAAUGCAAUUUUGUUUGUAUAUAGUAAGCAUAUAGAUACACACACACACACACGCAUACGUAUAUAUACCUGGUAUAUAUAUAUAUACACCUAUAGGAAUGAAAAAAUGCACUCGGUCUGCUGUAAUGAAACGAUUUCACGCUCGCAAGAUCGUACAUCGACCCUUCUAUAUUUGUUUUGCGCAUCGAUUCGAAUACCAGACGAUUUUAUCAGCCCCAUCGCAUUUUGAUUAUUGAGCAUAUCGUCCUUGAUAAUCCGUAAUCUAACUGGGAGCAUCGGCUUCGAAGCAUUGCUCGAAAUCUAAUUAUUCUUCAUUAUCCCUUUGCAAAGUGGAUAUCCAUCGUUGAAAAGAAAGAAUAAAGCGUUUCGCGACGUGGAACAGACAAUUGUUAAAAAAGGAGACAGAUGUAUAUGCACGUUACGUAAACGUGAGGAUGAAAUAAUGUAUGCAAUAGAAAGAGAAAAAGAGAGAGAGAGAAAAAGAAAGAGAGAGAGCAUGUACUUUGUCUGCACAUUAAUAUAACAAGAGCGUUAAGUAUUCCUCUUUUUCUGACCAUUUAAACCGUAUGAAAGAUUCAUCCUCUCAAUAAAAAAAUAUUCCAGAGAAAUAUUGUAAAAAAAUUUUGGAAAAAGUUCUACCAAAGCGUGCGCGAGGAGUACGAUAAGCGAUUAUAAAAUUAAUGGUUCUAUCGAAGUUAAAGAUAAAUAUGUAUCUAUAUACGCGUACGUACGUAUGUUGAAUCUUUAAAAUAUCAUAAUAAAGUUAAUAAUCCGAAAAAAAGCGGUCUUUAUGAAACGAUAUAAUCGUUUUAAUUGUAAUACUAAAAGUAAGAUCUUCUUAACGGCUUGUUACGUUUUUUCUUUUUUCCUUUUUACCAAAGGAAUGACGAAAUAUUAUGCGUAUGUUGUUGGCGAUUGUACAUAUUAUUAAAUAAAUAUAUAAAUAUAUACAUACAUACGUGCAUGCGAUCACGUGUACAUACGUGUUAUUAUAGAUAUUCGAUGUGACGUAAAUGUUAAAUAUUAUUAUAUUUUAUAAUAAAAGCGAGAAAAAAAA